RNAcentral lists this ribosomal RNA (262 nucleotides) under uncultured bacterium. Its description in RNAcentral is "partial 16S ribosomal RNA". It matches the Rfam family "Bacterial small subunit ribosomal RNA", at positions 1231 to 1500 of the family's 1533-position model. The record is from RNAcentral.
UGGCAGGUACAGAGGGGUGCUACCGGGUGACCGGAUCGCCGAUCUCGAAAACCUGUCCCAGUUCGGACUGGAGUCUGCAACCCGACUCCACGAAGUUGGAUUCGCUAGUAAUCGCGCAUCAGCCAUGGCGCGGUGAAUACGUUCCCGGGCCUUGUACACACCGCCCGUCAAGCCAUGGGAGCCGGGGGCGCCUGAAGUCCGGGACCGCGAGGACCGGCCUAGGGCGAAACUGGUGACUGGGGCUAAGUCGUAACAAGGUACC